RNAcentral lists this ribosomal RNA (1351 nucleotides) under uncultured marine eukaryote. Its description in RNAcentral is "SSU rRNA". It matches the Rfam family "Eukaryotic small subunit ribosomal RNA", at positions 411 to 1774 of the family's 1831-position model. The record is from RNAcentral.
CACUUCUAAGGAAGGCAGCAGGCGCGCAAAUUACCCAAUCCUGACUCAGGGAGGUAGUGACAAGAAAUAACAAUAAACCGGCUUAUGCCGGUUUAAUUGGAAUGAGUACAAUUUAAACAUCUUAACGAGGAACAAUUGGAGGGCAAGUCUGGUGCCAGCAGCCGCGGUAAUUCCAGCUCCAAUAGCGUAUACUAAAGUUGUUGCAGUUAAAAAGCUCGUAGUUGGAUUUCUGUGGGGACGGAGCGGCCGGCCGCACAUCGCGGUUCGAGCUAGCGCUUUCCCUACAUCCUGCCGCGAACCGUGCUACCAUUAAUUUGGUGGCGCCGGGGAUCGGCUCGAUUACUUUGAGAAAAAUAGAGUGUUCAAAGCAGGCCACAUGCCUUGAAUAAGUUAGCAUGGAAUAAUAACUAAGGACUUCGGUUCUAUUUUGUUGGUGUUCGGGACUGAAGUAAUGAUUGAUAGGGACAGUUGGGGCGGUCUGUAUUCCAAAGCGAGAGGUGAAAUUCUUAGACCUUCGGAAGACAAACAGCUGCGAAAGCGUUCCGCAAGGAUGUUCCCUUUGAUCAAGAACGAAAGUUGGGGGAUCGAAGACGAUCAGAUACCGUCGUAGUCUCAACUAUAAACUAUACCAGCUAGGGAUCGGCCAACGUUAUUUUAUACCGACUUGGUCGGCACCUUAUGAGAAAUCAAAGCAUCUGGGUUCCGGGGGGAGUAUGGUCGCAAGGCUGAAACUUAAAGGAAUUGACGGAAGGGCACCACCAGCCGUGGAGCCUGUGGCUUAAUUUGACUCAACACGGGAAAACUUACCAGGUCCAGACAUAGUAAGGAUUGACAGAUUGAUAGCUCUUUCUUGAUUCUGUGGGUGGUGGUGCAUGGCCGUUCUUAGUUGGUGGAGUGAUUUGUCUGGUUAAUUCCGUUAACGAACGAGACCCCAGCCUGCUAAAUAGCGCGCGUGAGCUUUGCUCGCGGCGAGCUUCUUAGAGGGACUCUGAUGCGCGAUAGCACAUGGAAGUUUGGGGCAAUAACAGGUCUGUGAUGCCCUUAGAUGUUCUGGGCCGCACACGGGCUACACUGGCGCCUGCAUCGAGCAUAUCAGCUGGCCCGAGAGGGUCUUGGCUAAUCUUUUGAACCGGCGCCGUGCUUGGGAUUGACCUUUGCAAUUGUUGGUCAUGCAACGAGGAAUGCCUUGUAAACGCGAGUCAUCAGCUCGCAUUGAAUACGUCCCUGCCCUUUGUACACACCGCCCGUCGCUCCUACCGAUGAAUGUUCCGAUGAAAUUUUCGGAGAGCACCUGUGAACUUGGCUCUGCCUUGCGAACGGGAGGCUCAAAGUCACUUAAAUCUGAACAUUU